AAGUCGUAACAAGGUUUCCGUAGGUGAACCUGCGGAAGGAUCAUUAAUAAACAGCGAGCAAUCGCUUUAUAUUAUACUAUAAACACCUGUGAACUCUUUUGGCCUUCGGGCUGGAAAACCAUAUAAAACAUAACUGUCAAUGAACGUAAAACUAUUAUAAACAAUAAUACAA
RNAcentral lists this unclassified non-coding RNA (172 nucleotides) under plant metagenome. RNAcentral describes it as "partial contains small subunit ribosomal RNA and internal transcribed spacer 1". The stretch from base 1 to 46 matches the Rfam family "Eukaryotic small subunit ribosomal RNA", at positions 1786 to 1831 of the family's 1831-position model. The record is from RNAcentral.